CAAUAGCGUAUAUUAAAGUUGUUGCAGUUAAAAAGCUCGUAGUUGGAUUUCGGGUAGGAUUUGCCGGUCCGUCUUUGAGAUGUGUACUGGUAAGUCCUAUCUUCUUGUCGGGGACCAGCUCCUGGGCUUCACUGUCCGGGACUGGGAGCCGACGAAGUUACUUUGAGUAAAUUAGAGUGUUCAAAGCAAGCCUACGCUCUGAAUAUAUUAGCAUGGAAUAACACGAUAGGACUCUGGCUUAUCUUGUUGGUCUGUGAGACCAGAGUAAUGAUUAAGAGGGACAGUCGGGGACAUUCGUAUUUCAUUGUCAGAGGUGAAAUUCUUGGAUUUACGGAAGACGAACAUCUGCGAAAGCAUUUGCCAAGGAUGUUUUCAUUGA
RNAcentral lists this ribosomal RNA (379 nucleotides) under uncultured eukaryote. Its description in RNAcentral is "partial 18S ribosomal RNA". It matches the Rfam family "Eukaryotic small subunit ribosomal RNA", at positions 592 to 976 of the family's 1831-position model. The record is from RNAcentral.